AGAACUGAUAAUCUGAAAAGUGGAAUGAAGGAGUAACGUCCUGAAACGCUUUCCCUGAUACUCCGAUUAGCGUUUGUAUUUGUAGUAUAAUAUGAAUGUUAAAAGCUCGGUAAAGUCGACUGAGAGAUACCGUAACUUGUGCAAACAGAACGAAAGCUGCCCGGAGGCGGAUAGUGUAUCCCAUAGGUCGGGGGUCUAUAAA
RNAcentral lists this non-coding RNA (202 nucleotides) under uncultured Ruminococcus sp. Lineage: Bacteria; Bacillati; Bacillota; Clostridia; Eubacteriales; Oscillospiraceae. The record is from RNAcentral.